This 467-nucleotide ribosomal RNA is filed under the name uncultured bacterium. Its description in RNAcentral is "SSU rRNA". It matches the Rfam family "Bacterial small subunit ribosomal RNA", at positions 26 to 518 of the family's 1533-position model. The record is from RNAcentral.
AGGACUAACGCUGGCGGCGUGCCUAACACAUGCAAGUCGAACGAGAGUAGCAAUACUCUAGUGGCAGACGGGUGAGUAACACGUGGUCAACCUACCUCUAUGUGGGGGAUAACUAGCCGAAAGGUUAGCUAAUACCGCAUACGAUCGUCGAGCGGCAUCGCUUGACGAUGAAAGGAGCAAUCCGCAGAGAGACGGGACCGCGUCCCAUUAGCUAGUUGGUGGGGUAAAGGCCUACCAAGGCGACGAUGGGUAGCUGGCUUGAGAGAGCGACCAGCCACACUGGGACUGAGACACGGCCCAGACUCCUACGGGAGGCAGCAGUGAGGAAUUUUCCGCAAUGGGCGAAAGCCUGACGGAGCGACGCCGCGUGUGGGAAGAAGGCCUUCGGGUCGUAACCACUGUCGAAGGGGAAGAGUAUUGACGGUACCCUUGGAGGAAGCCCCGGCUAACUACGCGCCAGCAGCCGC